AGAAUCAACGCUGGCGGCGUGCCUAACACAUGCAAGUCGAACGAGAAAGUGGAGCAAUCCAUGAGUAAAGUGGCGACCGGGUGAGUAACACGUGACUAACCUACCUUCGAGUGGGGGAUAACAUCGGGAAACCGAUGCUAAUACCGCAUAAUAUCGCAAGAUCAAAGCAGCAAUGCGCUGGAAGAGGGGGUCGCGGCUGAUUAGCUAGUUGGCGGGGUAACGGCCCACCAAGGCGAAGAUCGGUAGCCGGCCUGAGAGGGCGCACGGCCACACUGGAACUGAAACACGGUCCAGACUCCUACGGGAGGCAGCAGUGGGGAAUUUUGCGCAAUGGGGGAAACCCUGACGCAGCAACGCCGCGUGGAGGAUGAAGCCCCUUGGGCGUAAACUCCUUCGACCAAGACGAUAAUGACGGUACUGGUGGAAGAGCACCGGCUAACUCUGCGCCAGCAGCCGC
RNAcentral lists this ribosomal RNA (457 nucleotides) under uncultured bacterium. Its description in RNAcentral is "SSU rRNA". It matches the Rfam family "Bacterial small subunit ribosomal RNA", at positions 26 to 518 of the family's 1533-position model. The record is from RNAcentral.